Long non-coding RNA from Terrapene triunguis (Three-toed box turtle), 417 nucleotides. RefSeq lists it as uncharacterized. The transcript is spliced from 2 exons. The record is from RefSeq and is a predicted model, not a curated record. NCBI's taxonomy places the organism in Eukaryota, Metazoa, Chordata, Testudines, Emydidae.
GGCGCGGCGUUCAGGUGUCUCCGUGGGGUGGCUGCAGCCCCAGCGGGGCUCAGUCGGGAUCCCAGCCGACCAGAUUGCGCAAUAUACUGGCGGGUUCUCCGGCCCUUUCUCACAGGCUCCGGGGCUGCUGGAGCGGAGAGAGCCCCGGGGAGGAGGGAGCCGCGCGUUCACCUCGGACCUGUGGGGGUGAAGCCGGCCCUGCCUCAGUUUCCCUCCCUGUCAGUAGCUACAGGAGAGAACUUGGGCAGCGGUGCCAGUCAGAGGCUGCGCGCACGGCGCUGGGAGGGAAGGUCCUCCGCAGUAUUUUGCACCUCCCUUGGGUGCCAGAAGAUUGGAGCCAAGAUGCUAGCCACAUAACUACUGCAGUGGCUAAGGACUAUGAAGCCUGUAAAGUUCAAUAAAAUGAGUAAACGUUGA